Molecule: long non-coding RNA, 381 nt
Organism: Pantherophis guttatus
Lineage: Eukaryota; Metazoa; Chordata; Lepidosauria; Squamata; Colubridae
Source: RefSeq, a predicted model, not a curated record
UAAGCAUCAGAAUGUUUUUCUAUCUCCCCCCAUUGGCAUGGAUGCCAGAAGAAGAGCACUUCCAUGUGAUAUGGAUAAAAUGCUAGAUAUUUGACUAGAUAGAAGUUUUGUAUAAAUGGAAAGGAUUGCAAGAUUAAAUGACAGAAAAAAGACAGUGAUGACUAUAAGAAGCCAUUCAAAUUAUCAAAGGGAGGAAAAAAUGGGAAAAGACUGAGGCAAAUUCCUAACAUUCACAUCCUUAAAUGUCAUUUCUAUAAUCAAUUAAUAAUCCCUGAAAAACCUGCUUGAUGUCACAUAAUCUCUUCAAAGAAACAUCCAUUUUCAAUGAAGCUAUUCAAUGCACCAAGAAUUUUGCCAAUAAAAUCAGGUUUUUAAAUGGCC